This 527-nucleotide ribosomal RNA is filed under the name uncultured bacterium. Its description in RNAcentral is "bacterial SSU rRNA". It matches the Rfam family "Bacterial small subunit ribosomal RNA", at positions 777 to 1304 of the family's 1533-position model. The record is from RNAcentral.
AAUAGAUACCCUGGUAGUCCACGCCGUAAACGAUGUCAACUAGCUGUUGGGUUCCUUGAGAACUUAGUAGCGCAGCUAACGCGAUAAGUUGACCGCCUGGGGAGUACGGCCGCAAGGUUAAAACUCAAAUGAAUUGACGGGGGCCCGCACAAGCGGUGGAGCAUGUGGUUUAAUUCGAAGCAACGCGAAGAACCUUACCUGGCCUUGACAUGCUGAGAACUUUCCAGAGAUGGAUUGGUGCCUUCGGGAACUCAGACACAGGUGCUGCAUGGCUGUCGUCAGCUCGUGUCGUGAGAUGCUGGGUUAAGUCCCGUAACGAGCGCAACCCUUGUCCUUAGUUACCAGCACGUUAUGGUGGGCACUCUAAGGAGACUGCCGGUGACAAACCGGAGGAAGGUGGGAUGACGUCAAGUCAUCAUGGCCCUUAGGCCAGGGCUACACACGUGCUACAAUGGUCGGUACAGAGGGUUGCCAAGCCGCGAGGUGGAGCUAAUCUCACAAAACCGGAUCGUAGUCCGGAUCGCAGU